GUCCAUUUGGAGAUAUAAGUGGUCUGACCUGCUCACUGGUAAAUCACUUAAGAGCCGCGGUAUACUGACCGUGCAAAGGUAGCAUAAUCAUUAGGAGUUUAAUUGGAGUCUGGAAUGAAUGGUUGGACAAAGGAAAAGCUGUCUUUAUAAUAUAUAUUGAAGUUUACUUUUAAGUGAAAAGGCUUAAAUAUAUCAGAGGGACGAUAAGACCCUAUAAAGCUUUAUAAAUAACUUGAGUUCUAGUCGGUUUAAGUGAAUAAGGAUUAGAUUUAAUUAUUUUAUUUUGUUGGGGUGAUGUGAGUAUAAAUAUUAUUAACUGCUUAAAAGGAAUACAAGGAUAAAAGAUUUAUUAAUAAGUGCAUGAUCCUUUUUAGAGAUUAAAAGACUAAGUUACUUUAGGGAUAACAGCGUUAUUUCUUUUGAGAGUCCAUAUUGAAAAAGAAGAUUGCGACCUCGAUGUUGAAUUAAAAUAUCUAUAUAAUGCAGCUGUUAUAUAAGAGGGUCUGUUCGACCUUUAAAUUUUU
This 524-nucleotide ribosomal RNA is filed under the name Neoliomera pubescens. RNAcentral's name for it is "partial 16S large subunit ribosomal RNA". It matches the Rfam family "Bacterial large subunit ribosomal RNA", at positions 1829 to 2597 of the family's 2925-position model. Lineage: Eukaryota; Metazoa; Arthropoda; Malacostraca; Decapoda; Xanthidae. The record is from RNAcentral.